GGUAACAGGAAGCAGCUUGCUGUUUCGCUGACGAGUGGCGGACGGGUGAGUAAUGUCUGGGAAACUGCCUGAUGGAGGGGGAUAACUACUGGAAACGGUAGCUAAUACCGCAUAACGUCGCAAGACCAAAGAGGGGGACCUUCGGGCCUCUUGCCAUCGGAUGUGCCCAGAUGGGAUUAGCUAGUAGGUGGGGUAACGGCUCACCUAGGCGACGAUCCCUAGCUGGUCUGAGAGGAUGACCAGCCACACUGGAACUGAGACACGGUCCAGACUCCUACGGGAGGCAGCAGUGGGGAAUAUUGCACAAUGGGCGCAAGCCUGAUGCAGCCAUGCCGCGUGUAUGAAGAAGGCCUUCGGGUUGUAAAGUACUUUCAGCGGGGAGGAAGGGAGUAAAGUUAAUACCUUUGCUCAUUGACGUUACCCGCAGAAGAAGCACCGGCUAACUCCGUGCCAGCAGCCGCGGUAAUACGGAGGGUGCAAGCGUUAAUCGGAAUUACUGGGCGUAAAGCGCACGCAGGCGGUUUGUUAAGUCAGA
This 535-nucleotide ribosomal RNA is filed under the name Shigella flexneri. Its description in RNAcentral is "bacterial SSU rRNA". It matches the Rfam family "Bacterial small subunit ribosomal RNA", at positions 68 to 592 of the family's 1533-position model. The record is from RNAcentral. Lineage: Bacteria; Pseudomonadati; Pseudomonadota; Gammaproteobacteria; Enterobacterales; Enterobacteriaceae.